RNAcentral lists this ribosomal RNA (440 nucleotides) under uncultured bacterium. RNAcentral's name for it is "bacterial SSU rRNA". It matches the Rfam family "Bacterial small subunit ribosomal RNA", at positions 29 to 514 of the family's 1533-position model. The record is from RNAcentral.
AACGAACGCUGGCGGCAUGCCUAACACAUGCAAGUCGAACGAGACCUUCGGGUCUAGUGGCGCACGGGUGCGUAACGCGUGGGAACCUGCCUUUAGGUUCGGAAUAACUCAGAGAAAUUUGAGCUAAUACCGGAUAAUGUCUUCGGACCAAAGAUUUAUCGCCUUUAGAUGGGCCCGCGUAAGAUUAGCUAGUUGGUGGGUAAAGGCCUACCAAGGCGACGAUCUUUAGCUGGUCUGAGAGGAUGAUCAGCCACACUGGGACUGAGACACGGCCCAGACUCCUACGGGAGGCAGCAGUGGGGAAUAUUGGACAAUGGGCGAAAGCCUGAUCCAGCAAUGCCGCGUGAGUGAUGAAGGCCUUAGGGUUGUAAAAGCUCUUUUACCCGGGAUGAUAAUGACAGUACCGGGAGAAUAAGCCCCGGCUAACUCCGUGCCAGCAG